RNAcentral lists this ribosomal RNA (196 nucleotides) under uncultured bacterium. RNAcentral's name for it is "partial 16S ribosomal RNA". It matches the Rfam family "Bacterial small subunit ribosomal RNA", at positions 328 to 539 of the family's 1533-position model. The record is from RNAcentral.
ACGCUCGACACCUAGGAGGCAGCAGUGGGGAAUAUUGCACAAUGGGGGAAACCCUGAUGCAGCGACGCCGCGUGAAGGAUGAAGUAUUUCGGUAUGUAAACUUCUAUCAGCAGGGAAGAAAGUGACGGUACCUGACUAAGAAGCCCCGGCUAACUACGUGCCAGAAGCCGCGGUAAUCUGAGCGGGCUGGCAAGGC